RNAcentral lists this ribosomal RNA (461 nucleotides) under uncultured bacterium. RNAcentral describes it as "partial 16S ribosomal RNA". It matches the Rfam family "Bacterial small subunit ribosomal RNA", at positions 339 to 795 of the family's 1533-position model. The record is from RNAcentral.
CUACGGGGCGCAGCAGUCGAGAAUCUUCCGCAAUGGACGAAAGUCUGACGGAGCGACGCCGCGUGCGGGAUGAAGGCCUUCGGGUUGUAAACCGCUGUCAGUGGGGAGGAAAUGCAUCAGGGUUCUCCCUGGUGUUUGACCGAUCCGCAGAGGAAGCGCAGGCUAAGUUCGUGCCAGCAGCCGCGGUAACACGAACUGCGCGAACGUUAUUCGGAAUCACUGGGCUUAAAGAGUUUGUAGGCGGCCUUUCAAGUCGGGUGUGAAAUCCCUCGGCUCAACCGAGGAAUUGCGCCUGAUACUGUUGGGCUUGAGGGGGAUAGGGGUGAGCGGAACUGAUGGUGGAGCGGUGAAAUGCGUUGAUAUCAUCAGGAACACCGGUGGCGAAGGCGGCUCACUGGAUCUCUUCUGACGCUGAGGAACGAAAGCUAGGGGAGCGAACGGGAUUAGAUACCCUAGUAGUC